AAUUGAGAGCCCAAAUCAAUGAUAGAACCCGAAUUGUCAACCAUCUAAGCUCGAACAUCAAUAGGCGUGAAGGAAGAAAGCUCGAACACUAGUAAAGCGGGAGGUGUACAAGAUCGAGGUAAAACUCC
Molecule: long non-coding RNA, 128 nt
Organism: Helianthus annuus (common sunflower)
Lineage: Eukaryota; Viridiplantae; Streptophyta; Magnoliopsida; Asterales; Asteraceae
Exons: 3
Source: RefSeq, a predicted model, not a curated record